Molecule: long non-coding RNA, 230 nt
Filed under: Panax ginseng (ginseng)
Lineage: Eukaryota; Viridiplantae; Streptophyta; Magnoliopsida; Apiales; Araliaceae
Description: long non-coding RNA (PGIN_LNC000270)
Source: RNAcentral
AAGUUUGUUUUUCUUAACUCUAUUAAGAGUGUUUCAUUCAGAUAUGCUUAUGGUUAAUCAUUACUGAUUGCCAUGUAGAAUUGUACUCUGUACAUCUUGUAUGUAUAAGUCAGGUAUGAAAGGCUGAUCACCUUCAAUACCAGUUGGUCCAGAUAUAUAUUGUUCAUAUGUAAUACUUGUUCAGUCAAAAGUUUGUUCAUGCUAAUUCACAUCUACAUUGUGAAUUAUAG